RNAcentral lists this long non-coding RNA (206 nucleotides) under Lathyrus oleraceus (garden pea). RNAcentral describes it as "Pisum sativum (pea) long non-coding RNA (PSAT_LNC009160)". Lineage: Eukaryota; Viridiplantae; Streptophyta; Magnoliopsida; Fabales; Fabaceae. The record is from RNAcentral.
GUCAAUUCAAAUGCCAAAUUCAAUUCAUUUCAUUCAUAAACACCAAUUUCCAUUCAAAUAACCAUCCAUAGCCCAUUGUAAUGCUCAUUACAUCCAAAAAAGAACAAAAAUUACAUGUUGACCAAAUGUUGACUUUGGUCAACAAUUGACUUUUUGGUCAACUUUGACAAAAUUCAACCCAAGCCCUUUUCAUCCUAAAACCCUAA